RNAcentral lists this ribosomal RNA (253 nucleotides) under uncultured bacterium. Its description in RNAcentral is "partial 16S ribosomal RNA". It matches the Rfam family "Bacterial small subunit ribosomal RNA", at positions 524 to 776 of the family's 1533-position model. The record is from RNAcentral.
UACGGGGGGGGCAAGCGUUGUUCGGAAUUACUGGGCGUAAAGGGCGCGUAGGCGGUUUGCUAAGUUGGAUGUGAAAACUCUGGGCUUAACCCAGAGCCUGCAUCCAAAACUGGCAAACUUGAGUACUGGAGGGGAAAGCGGAAUUCCUGGUGUAGCGGUGAAAUGCGUAGAUAUCAGGAGGAACACCCGUGGCGAAAGCGGCUCUCUGGGACGGUACUGACGCUGAGACGCGAAAGCGUGGGGAGCAAACAGG